UAGAGUUUGAUCCUGGCUCAGGACGAACGCUGGCGGCGUGCUUAACACAUGCAAGUCGAACGGAAAGGUCUCUUCGGAGACACUCGAGUGGCGAACGGGUGAGUAACACGUGGGCAAUCUGCCCUGCACACCGGGAUAAGCCUGGGAAACUGGGUCUAAUACCGGAUAGGACCACUUGGCGCAUGCCUUGUGGUGGAAAGCUUUUGCGGUGUGGGAUGGGCCCGCGGCCUAUCAGCUUGUUGGUGGGGUGACGGCCUACCAAGGCGACGACGGGUAGCCGGCCUGAGAGGGUGUCCGGCCACACUGGGACUGAGAUACGGCCCAGACUCCUACGGGAGGCAGCAGUGGGGAAUAUUGCACAAUGGGCGCAAGCCUGAUGCAGCGACGCCGCGUGGGGGAUGACGGCCUUCGGGUUGUAAACCUCUUUCACCAUCGACGAAGGUCCGGGUUCUCUCGGAUUGACGGUAGGUGGAGAAGAAGCACCGGCCAACUACGUGCCAGCAGCCGCGGUAAUACGUAGGGUGCGAGCGUUGUCCGGAAUUACUGGGCGUAAAGAGCUCGUAGGUGGUUUGUCGCGUUGUUCGUGAAAUCUCACGGCUUAACUGUGAGCGUGCGGGCGAUACGGGCAGACUAGAGUACUGCAGGGGAGACUGGAAUUCCUGGUGUAGCGGUGGAAUGCGCAGAUAUCAGGAGGAACACCGGUGGCGAAGGCGGGUCUCUGGGCAGUAACUGACGCUGAGGAGCGAAAGCGUGGGGAGCGAACAGGAUUAGAUACCCUGGUAGUCCACGCCGUAAACGGUGGGUACUAGGUGUGGGUUUCCUUCCUUGGGAUCCGUGCCGUAGCUAACGCAUUAAGUACCCCGCCUGGGGAGUACGGCCGCAAGGCUAAAACUCAAAGGAAUUGACGGGGGCCCGCACAAGCGGCGGAGCAUGUGGAUUAAUUCGAUGCAACGCGAAGAACCUUACCUGGGUUUGACAUGCACAGGACGCGUCUAGAGAUAGGCGUUCCCUUGUGGCCUGUGUGCAGGUGGUGCAUGGCUGUCGUCAGCUCGUGUCGUGAGAUGUUGGGUUAAGUCCCGCAACGAGCGCAACCCUUGUCUCAUGUUGCCAGCGGGUAAUGCCGGGGACUCGUGAGAGACUGCCGGGGUCAACUCGGAGGAAGGUGGGGAUGACGUCAAGUCAUCAUGCCCCUUAUGUCCAGGGCUUCACACAUGCUACAAUGGCCGGUACAAAGGGCUGCGAUGCCGCGAGGUUAAGCGAAUCCUUUUAAAGCCGGUCUCAGUUCGGAUCGGGGUCUGCAACUCGACCCCGUGAAGUCGGAGUCGCUAGUAAUCGCAGAUCAGCAACGCUGCGGUGAAUACGUUCCCGGGCCUUGUACACACCGCCCGUCACGUCAUGAAAGUCGGUAACACCCGAAGCCAGUGGCCUAACCCUCGGGAGGGAGCUGUCGAAGGUGGGAUCGGCGAUUGGGACGAAGUCGUAACAAGGUAGCCGUA
RNAcentral lists this ribosomal RNA (1496 nucleotides) under Mycobacterium kansasii. RNAcentral's name for it is "bacterial SSU rRNA". It matches the Rfam family "Bacterial small subunit ribosomal RNA". The record is from RNAcentral. Lineage: Bacteria; Bacillati; Actinomycetota; Actinomycetes; Mycobacteriales; Mycobacteriaceae.